RNAcentral lists this ribosomal RNA (253 nucleotides) under uncultured bacterium. RNAcentral describes it as "partial 16S ribosomal RNA". It matches the Rfam family "Bacterial small subunit ribosomal RNA", at positions 524 to 776 of the family's 1533-position model. The record is from RNAcentral.
UACAGAGGUCUCAAGCGUUGUUCGGAUUCAUUGGGCGUAAAGGGUGCGUAGGCGGUGUCGUAAGUCGGAUGUGAAAUCCCGGGGCUUAACUUCGGAACUGCAUUCGAUACUGCGAUACUCGAGGACUCGAGAGGAGAUUGGAAUUCACGGUGUAGCAGUGAAAUGCGUAGAUAUCGUGAGGAAGACCAGUGGCGAAGGCGGAUCUCUGGAGAGUUCCUGACGCUGAGGCACGAAAGCUAGGGGAGCAAACAGG